This 818-nucleotide ribosomal RNA is filed under the name uncultured Clostridium sp. Its description in RNAcentral is "bacterial SSU rRNA". It matches the Rfam family "Bacterial small subunit ribosomal RNA", at positions 8 to 840 of the family's 1533-position model. Lineage: Bacteria; Bacillati; Bacillota; Clostridia; Eubacteriales; Clostridiaceae. The record is from RNAcentral.
AGAGUUUGAUCCUGGCUCAGGACGAACGCUGGCGGCGUGCCUAACACAUGCAAGUCGAGCGAUGAAGUUCCUUCGGGAACGGAUUAGCGGCGGACGGGUGAGUAACACGUGGGUAACCUGCCUCAAAGAGGGGGAUAGCCUCCCGAAAGGGAGAUUAAUACCGCAUAACAUUAUUUUCUCGCAUGAGAAGAUAAUCAAAGGAGCAAUCCGCUUUGAGAUGGACCCGCGGCGCAUUAGCUAGUUGGUGAGGUAACGGCUCACCAAGGCGACGAUGCGUAGCCGACCUGAGAGGGUGAUCGGCCACAUUGGAACUGAGACACGGUCCAGACUCCUACGGGAGGCAGCAGUGGGGAAUAUUGCGCAAUGGGGGAAACCCUGACGCAGCAACGCCGCGUGAGUGAUGAAGGUCUUCGGAUUGUAAAGCUCUGUCUUUGGGGACGAUAAUGACGGUACCCAAGGAGGAAGCCACGGCUAACUACGUGCCAGCAGCCGCGGUAAUACGUAGGUGGCAAGCGUUGUCCGGAUUUACUGGGCGUAAAGAGUAUGUAGGCGGAUAUUUAAGUCAGAUGUGAAAUUCCCGGGCUUAACCUGGGCGCUGCAUUUGAAACUGGGUAUCUAGAGUGCGGGAGAGGAAAGUGGAAUUCCUAGUGUAGCGGUGAAAUGCGUAGAGAUUAGGAAGAACACCAGUGGCGAAGGCGACUUUCUGGACCGUAACUGACGCUGAGAUACGAAAAGCGUGGGGAGCAAACAGGGAUUAGAUACCCUGGUAGUCCACGCCGUAAACGAUGAAAUGCUAGGUGUCGGGGGGGGUACCACCC